AUAUGGUCAAGUUACUAAGGGUGUAUGGAGGAUGUCUAGGCAUCGAGAGGCGAUGAAGGACGUGGUAGACUGCGAUAAGUCCGGGGCAGGUGUCAAACAACCGUUAAUCCCGGAAUUUCCGAAUAGGGAAACCGAACUUUGUUUAUACGAAGUUAUCACCGGCUGAAUGUAUAGGCCGGUUGAAGCCAACGCAGGGAACUGAAACAUCUAAGUACCUGUAGGAAAGGAAAUCAAAUAGAGACUCCGUCAGUAGCGGCGAGCGAAAGCGGACAAGCCCAAACCGACCUUCGGGUCGGGGUUGCGGACAUCGGUAAGGAGUUACAAAGACAUCACAAGCGGAAUCAGCUGGAAAGCUGGACCAGAGAGGGUGAAAGUCCCGUAUGCAAAAGUGAAUGUCCUCCGUUACUGCCGAUGCUCCAGAGUAGCACGGAUCUCGUGAAACUCCGUGCGAAGCAGGGGAGCCCAUUCUCCAAGGCUAAGUACUACUCGAUGACCGAUAGUGAAAUAGUAGCGCGAGCGAAAGAUGAAAAGUACCCCUAUUAGGGGAGUUAAAAGUACCUGAAACCAUACACUUACAAAGCUGUAGGAGGGCUAUGGUUACUCUUCGGAGUAACAAUGCCUGACUGCGUGCCUUUUGCAUAAU
RNAcentral lists this ribosomal RNA (643 nucleotides) under Phycisphaerales bacterium. RNAcentral's name for it is "bacterial LSU rRNA". It matches the Rfam family "Bacterial large subunit ribosomal RNA", at positions 1 to 616 of the family's 2925-position model. Lineage: Bacteria; Pseudomonadati; Planctomycetota; Phycisphaerae; Phycisphaerales. The record is from RNAcentral.